Canis lupus familiaris (dog) is the source of this 104-nucleotide non-coding RNA. The record is from Rfam. NCBI's taxonomy places the organism in Eukaryota, Metazoa, Chordata, Mammalia, Carnivora, Canidae.
AGGAGCAACAGCCCCAGUGGCGGGGCCGCUCUGGAAACCUGGAUUCAGCCCCCGCAGGAACUCCGGAGCUCUCCGUCUGCAGGGCCUGGAGGCUCCGAGCGGGG